RNAcentral lists this ribosomal RNA (377 nucleotides) under uncultured bacterium. Its description in RNAcentral is "partial 16S ribosomal RNA". It matches the Rfam family "Bacterial small subunit ribosomal RNA", at positions 338 to 732 of the family's 1533-position model. The record is from RNAcentral.
CCUACGGGCGACAGCAGUAGGGAAUCUUGCACAAUGGGGGAAACCCUGAAGCAGCAACGCCGCGUGAAGGAUGAAGGGUUUCGGAUUGUAAAGUUCUUUUGUUAGAGAAGAAAAUAACGGUAUUUAACUAAUAAUCACCGGCUAACAACGUCUCAGCAGCCGCCGUCAUACGUCGGGUGAAAGCGUUCGUCGGAAUCACUGGGCGUAAAGGGCGCGUAGGCGGUAUAAUAAGUCUGAUGUGAAAGCCUAUGGCUUAAUCAGAGAACUGCGUCUGAAACUGUUAAUCUUGAGUGUGGUAGAGGUAGGUGGAAUUCUUUGUGUAGCGGUGAAAUGCGUAGAUAUAUGGAGGAACACCAGUUGCGAAGGCGACUUGCUAG